AUGGCUUGUGCUCCGGACCAGCCAUGGACCAUAGAUACCCUGUUCCAGUUGAAGUUCACAGCAGAGCAGCUGGAGAAGCUGGCCAAGAAGGUCGAGAAGGACUCCAAGGCUGAGCGGGCCAAGGUGAAGAAGGCCCUUCAGCAGAAAAAUGUUUUGUGUGCCCAGGUGUUUGCUGAAAAUGCCAUCUGCAAGAAGAAUGAAGGUGUAAACUGGCUCCAGAUGGCAUCCCGUGUGGAUGCAGUGGCCUCCAAGAUGCAGAAAGCUGUGACCAUGAAGGGGGUGACUAAGAAUAUGGCACAGGUGACCAAAGCUCUGGACAAGGCCCUGAGUGCCAUGGACCUUCAGAAGGUGUCUGAAGUGAUGGACAGGUUUGAGCAGCAGGUGCAGAACCUGGAUGUGCACACAUCAGUAAUGGAGGAUUCUGUGAGCUCUGCCACUAUGCUGACCACACCUCAGGAGCAGGUCGACAGCCUCAUUUUUCAGAUUGUUGAGGAAAAUGGCCUGGAGGUCCUAGACCAGCUCAGCCAGCUGUCAGAGGGAGCCUCUGCUGUGGGCGAGAGUUCUGUGUGCAGCCAGGAGGACCAGCUGUCCUGGAGGUUGGCUGCCCUGAGGAAUUAGCGCGUCUGUGGCAGGUACUACCUCCCUUGCCCUGUGAUGUUCUGGAGGCUUCUGCCCAACUGCGCUCCACUUUCUCCAACCCUUUGUAGCUGCCUUGGCUCUUUUCCAACCUGUCAGGCUGGCGCCUUAGAACUGAGCCUUAGGUUGGGCAGCGGGUCUGUGUC
Mus pahari (shrew mouse) is the source of this 782-nucleotide RNA transcript. It is a transcript of the gene named charged multivesicular body protein 1a pseudogene, with no coding region annotated. NCBI's taxonomy places the organism in Eukaryota, Metazoa, Chordata, Mammalia, Rodentia, Muridae. The record is from RefSeq and is a predicted model, not a curated record. The transcript is spliced from 2 exons.